AGACAUCAUUUUUGGGAACCCUCCCUUGACUGACAAUUACUCCUUCCAAUAGCAAUGAAAUUGGCCGGGACCUAUACAGCUCUUUAGCCAAUAAGGAGACGAUUCCAACGGUAUGCCACGACCCGCCUCUCUAAUGCUGGCUUCCGCGCGAAAAUCGUGCAGGAUGGGUUUAUUGCGCAAUCCUCGACCUUUUCUCACUCUCACAGCUCAGGGUGUCAGGUUACAGCCUCUUUACACAACAGAAUAGUAGAGAGAGAAGCUGUGCUUGUUUUUGGCCAUUUAAACUGAGCAUGUGUGGCGAGGGUAAUGUUGUUACACUAGAUUAUUUAAAUUAUUAUUAAUUAAUUGUACUAACACAAGGCUUUUAUUUUGAAGUUCGUGUUAGAAGAGAUGGCACGGUGAUGAAUGGUCACGUGACCACUAGAAAAAUAUUAUUUUUAUUUCUUUUUCUACAAACAUUAUUUCUUUAUUGGUUUUGUUUUCUCUCCUUUUUGAAACUGUUCACCUUUUUAAAAAUUUUUAUUAAGAAUUGUAUAAUGGUCAUGUGCAAGCGUGAGGGUGGAGCUGACGUAAUUUCCGGUGUGCGCUCUCUUUCGCGGGAUUUCAAUGCGAUGAGAGGCACUUCUCGAUCAGACGUAAUCCUGUUACUGCCUGAUGCUGUCUGUUGUGUGUAACACAGGUAUGUAAAUAGAUAAUUUCAGUGUUCGUGCCUAUUCUUAGAUUUUCUUAUUUCUCAUGUUACAAUUGUAUGUUUGAUAUUUUGUUUUAAUGCUCUCUUUCGCGGGAUUUCAAUGCGAUGAGAGGCACUUCUCGAUCAGACGUAAUCCUGUUACUGCCUGAUGCUGUCUGUUGUGUGUAACACAGAGGAGAGAUCCCGAGAGGCCAAAAGUAAACCAUUUGACAACUGCA
This is a long non-coding RNA of Tachysurus fulvidraco (yellow catfish), 909 nucleotides long. RefSeq lists it as uncharacterized. The record is from RefSeq and is a predicted model, not a curated record. The transcript has 2 exons. Lineage: Eukaryota; Metazoa; Chordata; Actinopteri; Siluriformes; Bagridae.